This 253-nucleotide ribosomal RNA is filed under the name uncultured bacterium. RNAcentral's name for it is "partial 16S ribosomal RNA". It matches the Rfam family "Bacterial small subunit ribosomal RNA", at positions 524 to 776 of the family's 1533-position model. The record is from RNAcentral.
GACAGAGGGUGCGAGCGUUGUUCGGAGUUACUGGGCGUAAAGGGUGUGUAGGCGGUGCUCUAAGUUCGGUGUGAAAUCUCCCGGCUCAACCGGGAGGGUGCGCCGAAUACUGGAGCGCUCGAGCGCGGGAGAGGAAAGCGGAAUUCCUGGUGUAGCGGUGAAAUGCGUAGAUAUCAGGAGGAACACCGGUGGUGAAGACGGCUUUCUGGACCGCUGCUGACGCUGAGGCACGAAAGCGUGGGGAGCAAACAGG